GGGUGAGUAACGCGUAGGUAACCUACCUCAUAGCGGGGGAUAACUAUUGGAAACGAUAGCUAAUACCGCAUAAGAGAGACUAACGCAUGUUAGUAAUUUAAAAGGGGUAAUUGCUCCACCAUGAGAUGGACCUGCGUUGUAUUAGCUAGUUGGUGAGGUAAAGGCUCACCAAGGCGACGAUACAUAGCCGACCUGAGAGGGUGAUCGGCCACACUGGGACUGAGACACGGCCCAGACUCCUACGGGAGGCAGCAGUAGGGAAUCUUCGGCAAUGGGGGCAACCCUGACCGAGCAACGCCGCGUGAGUGAAGAAGGUUUUCGGAUCGUAAAGCUCUGUUGUUAGAGAAGAAUGAUGGUGGGAGUGGAAAAUCCACCAAGUGACGGUAACUAACCAGAAAGGGACGGCUAACUACGUGCCAGCAGCCGCGGUAAUACGUAGGUCCCGAGCGUUGUCCGGAUUUAUUGGGCGUAAAGCGAGCGCAGGCGGUUUUUUAAGUCUGAAGUUAAAGGCAUUGGCUCAACCAAUGUACGCUUUGGAAACUGGAGAACUUGAGUGCAGAAGGGGAGAGUGGAAUUCCAUGUGUAGCGGUGAAAUGCGUAGAUAUAUGGAGGAACACCGGUGGCGAAAGCGGCUCUCUGGUCUGUAGCUGACGCUGAGGCUCGAAAGCGUGGGGAGCAAACAGGAUUAGAU
This 691-nucleotide ribosomal RNA is filed under the name uncultured Streptococcaceae bacterium. Its description in RNAcentral is "bacterial SSU rRNA". It matches the Rfam family "Bacterial small subunit ribosomal RNA", at positions 104 to 783 of the family's 1533-position model. The record is from RNAcentral. Lineage: Bacteria; Bacillati; Bacillota; Bacilli; Lactobacillales; Streptococcaceae.